CAAAACUUCAAAACUAUGACGCAAAGUAAAACUUUUCUCUUGGGCAAAGAUGGAAAAAGAGAAAUAAGACCCCUGAAAGUCUAUAAGAAAGUGAUUAAAUAGUAUGCAUUAUGGUACUUAUGAUGUCAAUGGAACAGCUGCUUGGAAAGAUAUAAUAAAACUCAAACAAAGGAACUUCCUUUGGACAAAUGGAGUUAUGGACCCAGAUUUUUCUAAGGGGGCAGCAGAGGUGCCAACCAACUAAUGGACCUGAAUGUAGACAAUGCCAAUACCUGGGGAGAGAAGGUGCCUGAGUGAGAAACAGACACAGAGAGGGUGCUGGCUGGACAUACACUCCUGAAAAGUCUGAAGGACAUGUACUCUGGCUUGAGAAGUCAGGCUUGGCAGUUGUGGCUUCCAGAGUCGGCUGGAUCUGAAAGUGCUCAGACUAAGGCCGGCAGUCUGUUUGAAUUCCUGCUCCACUGCCUACAUCCA
Heterocephalus glaber (naked mole-rat) is the source of this 474-nucleotide non-coding RNA. The record is from RefSeq and is a predicted model, not a curated record. Lineage: Eukaryota; Metazoa; Chordata; Mammalia; Rodentia; Bathyergidae.